RNAcentral lists this ribosomal RNA (464 nucleotides) under uncultured bacterium. RNAcentral's name for it is "partial 16S ribosomal RNA". It matches the Rfam family "Bacterial small subunit ribosomal RNA", at positions 338 to 795 of the family's 1533-position model. The record is from RNAcentral.
CCUACGGGAGGCAGCAGUAGGGAAUUUUCGUCAAUGGGCGCAAGCCUGAACGAGCAAUGCCGCGUGAACGAGGAAGGUCUUCGGAUCGUAAAGUUCUGUUGAAGGGGAAAAAGAGCGGAGAGAGGAAAUGGUCUCCGAUUGAUAUUACCCUUCGAGGAAGUCACGGCUAACUACGUGCCAGCAGCCGCGGUAAUACGUAGGUGGCGAGCGUUAUCCGGAAUGAUUGGGCGUAAAGGGUGCGUAGGCGGCCUGCUAAGUCUGGAGUGAAAGGUACCGGCUCAACCGGGAUAGGCUCUGGAAACUGGCGGGCUAGAGAGCAGGAGAGGGCGGUGGAACUCCAUGUGUAGCGGUAAAAUGCGUAGAUAGAUGGAAGAACACCAGGGGCGAAGGCGGCCGCCUGGCCUGUUACUGACGCUGAGGCACGAAAGCGUGGGGAGCAAAUAGGAUUAGAUACCCUGGUAGUC